This is a non-coding RNA of Acanthosepion pharaonis, 106 nucleotides long. NCBI's taxonomy places the organism in Eukaryota, Metazoa, Mollusca, Cephalopoda, Sepiida, Sepiidae. The record is from the annotation of a GenBank genome assembly.
AUACGGCCAUAUAACGCUAAAACAACCGUUACCAUCCGAUCCCCGAAGUUAAGCAACGUAGAGCUUGGUCAAUAUCUAGAUGGGCGGCCGCUUGAGAAUACCUGGU